AGCAGCCGCGGUAAUUCCAGCUCCAAUAGCGUAUAUUAAAGUUGUUGCAGUUAAAAAGCUCGUAGUUGAAUUUCGGGAUCAAUACGUCGGUCGUGCUUCGGUACGUACUGGCGUAAUUGAUUUCUCCCUUCUGACGAACCAUGAUGUCAUUAACUUGGUGUCAUGGGAAAUCAGGACUGUUACUUUGAAAAAUUAGAGUAGUUUAAAGCAGGCUCACGCUUGAAUACAUUAGCAUGGAAUAAUGAAAUAGGACGUUCGAUCCUAUUUUGUGUUUUAGGAUCAACGUAAUGAUUAAUAGGGAUAGUUGGGGCAUUAGUAUUCAACUGU
Molecule: ribosomal RNA, 327 nt
Filed under: uncultured Glomus
Lineage: Eukaryota; Fungi; Glomeromycota; Glomeromycetes; Glomerales; Glomeraceae
Description: SSU rRNA
Rfam family: Eukaryotic small subunit ribosomal RNA
Source: RNAcentral